Molecule: ribosomal RNA, 616 nt
Filed under: Spaziphora hydromyzina
Lineage: Eukaryota; Metazoa; Arthropoda; Insecta; Diptera; Scathophagidae
Description: partial 12S ribosomal RNA
Source: RNAcentral
AAAUUAUUUCAAUUUUCUUUCACAAUACUAUUACACUAUAAUUAAAAUUAUUUUUUCAUUAAUCAUUACUAAAACAAAUCUAUUUAUAAUUAUUUUUAAUAAUUUAAAUUUAAAAAAAUAUAAAUUAAUAAAUAAAAUAUAAUCAAUUUAUAUUGAUUUGCACAAAAAUCUUUUCAAUGUAAAUGAAAUGCUUUACUUAAUAAGCUUUAAAUUGCAUUCUAGGUACACUUUCCAGUACAUCUACUAUGUUACGACUUAUCUUACCUUAAUAGUAAGAGUGACGGGCGAUGUGUGCAUAUUUUAGAGCUAAAAUCAAAUUAUUAAUCUAUAUAAUUUUACUAUCAAAUCCACCUUCAAUAAAUAUUUCAAAUUUAUAUUCGUAUAAAUAAUUUUAUUGUAACCCAUUUCUACUUAAAUAUAAGCUACACCUUGAUCUGAUAUAUUUUCUUUUUAAAAAUUAUGAAAAUUAACAUUCUUAUAAAAUAUUCUAAUAACGACGGUAUAUAAACUGAUUACAAAUUUAAGUAAGGUCCAUCGUGGAUUAUCGAUUACAGAACAGGUUCCUCUGAAUAGACUAAAAUACCGCCAAAUUUUUUAAGUUUCAAGAACAUAACUA